This 773-nucleotide ribosomal RNA is filed under the name uncultured Neocallimastigales. Its description in RNAcentral is "partial large subunit ribosomal RNA". It matches the Rfam family "Eukaryotic large subunit ribosomal RNA", at positions 24 to 646 of the family's 3401-position model. Lineage: Eukaryota; Fungi; Neocallimastigomycota; Neocallimastigomycetes; Neocallimastigales. The record is from RNAcentral.
UCGCAUCUGUGCAUGCAGCAUAUCAAUAAGCGGAGGAAAAGAAACUAACAAGGAUUCCCUCAGUAACGGCGAGUGAAGCGGGAAGAGCUCAAAUUUGAAAUCUUGAAAGGUCACCUUUCACGAAUUGUAGUUUAAAGAAGUGUCUUCUGUUACGAUCGUAAUAUAAGUUCUUUGGAAUAGGACAUCACAGAGGGUGAGAAUCCCGUCUAUGAUUGCGAUUUGUAGCUUUGUGAUACACUUUCAAAGAGUCGGGUUGUUUGGGAAUGCAGCCCAAAACGGGAGGUAAAUUUCUUCUAAGGCUAAAUAUUGGCGAGAGACCGAUAGCGAACAAGUACCGUGAGGGAAAGAUGAAAAGAACUUUGAAAAGAGAGUUAAAUAGUACGUGAAAUUGUCAAAAGGGAAGCGUUUAACACCAGUGUUGUUUUCUGAAAAUCAACCUCUGUUAGCUUUAUGCAUGUUUGUUUAGACCUAAUCAGCUAUCUUGCAUGUUCUAUUGUUUGCAGUGGUGCACUUUUCAGUUUACAGGUCAACAUCAGUUUUUUUUACCGUAAAAAAGCUAAAGAAAGGUAGCUCAUGGCUCCGGUCGUGAGUGUUAUAGUCUUUUUCCUAUGCGGUAGGAGAGACUGAGGUCUGCAGUGUAGGCUAUUUGGCUAGAUACUCAGGUGCUAUGUGAUACCAUUUCAUAAACAACUUGUUGAUUAUGUUUUGUCUAUUGCAUAGCUCGCUUGUACUAUCAUACCUACGCUUAGGAUGUUGACGAUCAGCUGAGCGCG